RNAcentral lists this ribosomal RNA (252 nucleotides) under uncultured bacterium. RNAcentral's name for it is "partial 16S ribosomal RNA". It matches the Rfam family "Bacterial small subunit ribosomal RNA", at positions 524 to 776 of the family's 1533-position model. The record is from RNAcentral.
UACGUAGGGGGCAAGCGUUAUCCGGAAUUAUUGGGCGUAAAGAGUGCGUAGGUGGUUACCUAAGCGCAGGGUUUAAGGCAAUGGCUCAACCAUUGUUCGCCUUGCGAACUGGGCUACUUGAGUGCAGGAGAGGAAAGCGGAAUUCCUAGUGUAGCGGUGAAAUGCGUAGAUAUUAGGAGGAACACCAGUGGCGAAGGCGACUUUCUGGACUGUUACUGACACUCAGAGACGAAAGCUAGGGUAGCAAAUGGG